UGAAUUUAUACCACGGGAGCUGUCCAUGGAGCAGAUUUUGCCCAUCCCCAAAGACUGUAGCCUACUCUUUGACAGCCUGGCAAUACAAGAAGCCUCAUGAAAUGACCAUAAGACAUACUUUGAGAAAAUAGGGUUAUUUGGAAAAGACUCAAGUCAAUGUUUUUGUUGUUGAGGAUUUAGAUUUUUGGACAAUGGAUAUGUCCCACGAGUCUCAUUCACAUAAAUUCUGUGUAAAUUCCAAUAUUGCUCAGUAAGUCAUGAUGAGCCUCUGCCCCGCCUCUAACCCAGUCAUCUCACGCUAACUAUCGUCUUGGUCAAGGCACAAGAGCUAUCCAUCCGGGCAACUUCAUAUUUUUGGAUAGAGAUAAAUGUAACCUGUCUCAGCAAGAUGAAACUAUGUGGAAUUCGAGCUUCACCUGAGUUUUAUUUUCUGCUUGAAUAUUAUUCCAGCCUGUUGGAGUGCUCAUGGGAAGUAUGCCCAGAAGCUGCUGAAAGAUUUGUUUACUAACUACACCAGUGCCCUGAGACCGGUAGAGGACACAGACAACAUCCUCAAUGUGACCCUGCAGAUCACCCUCUCACAGAUCAUUGACAUGGAUGAACGUAACCAGAUUUUGACAGCAUAUCUGUGGAUACGACAGGUGUGGGUAGACUCAUACCUCACCUGGAAUACAGAUGAUUAUGAUGGACUUGAUACCAUCCGUAUACCUAGUAGUUAUAUAUGGAGACCUGAUAUAGUCUUAUAUAACAAGUAGGUCGGACUGGUAUUGGGUUAAUCAGAGAGCUCUGUUGCUCCCACAAUACAUUCCACACAUCAACGUUGUUGUCAGUGUGAAGACACAAGCUGAACACUCCUUGAAGACAUUUAUUCACGGGAGUGUUCUGGUCGUUUUCUGCUUUUUAUACUGGGAAUCUGGGAAGUAACGGGCGGCAGGUAGCCUAGCGGUUAGAGUGUUUGGCCAGUAACUGAAAGGUCGCCGGUUUGA
Long non-coding RNA from Coregonus clupeaformis (lake whitefish), 986 nucleotides. RefSeq lists it as uncharacterized. The record is from RefSeq and is a predicted model, not a curated record. Lineage: Eukaryota; Metazoa; Chordata; Actinopteri; Salmoniformes; Salmonidae. The transcript has 3 exons.